RNAcentral lists this ribosomal RNA (433 nucleotides) under uncultured bacterium. Its description in RNAcentral is "partial 16S ribosomal RNA". It matches the Rfam family "Bacterial small subunit ribosomal RNA", at positions 29 to 507 of the family's 1533-position model. The record is from RNAcentral.
GCGCACGCUGGCGGCAGGCCUCACACCUGCAAGUCGCACGCACCUUUCGGGGUUAGUGGCGGACGGGUGAGUAACACGUGGGAACGUGCCUUUAGGUUCGGAAUAACUCAGGGAAACUUGUGCUAAUACCGAAUGUGCCCUUCGGGGGAAAGAUUUAUCGCCUUUAGAGCGGCCCGCGUCUGAUUAGCUAGUUGGUUGAGGUAAUGGCUCACCAAGGCGACGAUCAGUAGCUGGUCUGAGAGGAUGAUCAGCCACAUUGGGACUGAGACACGGCCCAAACUCCUACGGGAGGCAGCAGUGGGGAAUCUUGCGCAAUGGGCGAAAGCCUGACGCAGCCAUGCCGCGUGAAUGAUGAAGGUCUUAGGAUUGUAAAAUUCUUUCACCGGGGACGAUAAUGACGGUACCCGGAGAAGAAGCCCCGGCUAACUUCGUG